AGUGAACGCUGGCGGUAGGCCUAACACAUGCAAGUCGAACGGCAGCACAGUAAGAGCUUGCUCUUACGGGUGGCGAGUGGCAGACGGGUGAGGAAUACAUCGGAAUCUACUUUUUCGUGGGGGAUAACGUAGGGAAACUUACGCUAAUACCGCAUACGACCUACGGGUGAAAGCAGGGGAUCUUCGGACCUUGCGCGAUUGAAUGAGACGAUGUCGGAUUAGCUAGUUGGCGGGGUAAAGGCCCACCAAGGCGACGAUCCGUAGCUGGUCUGAGAGGAUGAUCAGCCACACUGGAACUGAGACACGGUCCAGACUCCUACGGGAGGCAGCAGUGGGGAAUAUUGGACAAUGGGCGCAAGCCUGAUCCAGCCAUACCGCGUGGGUGAAGAAGGCCUUCGGGUGGUAAAGCCCUUUUGUUGGGAAAGAAAAGCAGCAGGUUAAUACCCCGCUGUUCUGACGGUACCCAAAGAAUAAGCACCGGCUAACUUCGUG
Molecule: ribosomal RNA, 492 nt
Filed under: uncultured bacterium
Lineage: Bacteria
Description: partial 16S ribosomal RNA
Rfam family: Bacterial small subunit ribosomal RNA
Source: RNAcentral